GACGUAGGGCGCGAGCGUUGUCCGGAUUUAUUGGGCGUAAAGAGCUCGUAGGCGGCUUGUCGCGUCGUUCGUGAAAACCUGCAGCUCAACUGCAGGCUUGCGGUCGAUACGGGCAGGCUAGAGUUCGGUAGGGGAGACUGGAAUUCCUGGUGUAGCGGUGAAGUGCGCAGAUAUCAGGAGGAACACCAGCGGCGAAGGCGGCAUCCUGGACUGGUCCUGACACUCAGGAGCGAAAGCGUGGGGAGCGAUCCGG
RNAcentral lists this ribosomal RNA (253 nucleotides) under uncultured bacterium. RNAcentral describes it as "partial 16S ribosomal RNA". It matches the Rfam family "Bacterial small subunit ribosomal RNA", at positions 524 to 776 of the family's 1533-position model. The record is from RNAcentral.